GACGAACGCUGGCGGCGUGCUUAACACAUGCAAGUCGAACGGAAAGGCCCUGCUUUUGUGGGGUGCUCGAGUGGCGAACGGGUGAGUAACACGUGAGUAACCUGCCCUUGACUUUGGGAUAACUUCAGGAAACUGGGGCUAAUACCGGAUAGGAGCUCCUGCUGCAUGGGGGGGGUUGGAAAGUUUCGGCGGUUGGGGAUUGACUCGCGGCUUAUCAGCUUGUUGGUGGGGUAGUGGCGUACCAAGGCUUUGACGGGUAGCCGGCCUGAGAGGGUGACCGGCCACAUUGGGACUGAGAUACGGCCCAGACUCCUACGGGAGGCAGCAGUGGGGAAUAUUGCACAAUGGGCGGAAGCCUGAUGCAGCAACGCCGCGUGCGGGAUGACGGCCUUCGGGUUGUAAACCGCUUUCGCCUGUGACGAAGCGUGAGUGACGGUAAUGGGUAAAGAAGCACCGGCUAACUACGUG
RNAcentral lists this ribosomal RNA (468 nucleotides) under uncultured bacterium. RNAcentral's name for it is "partial 16S ribosomal RNA". It matches the Rfam family "Bacterial small subunit ribosomal RNA", at positions 28 to 507 of the family's 1533-position model. The record is from RNAcentral.